GUAAAACAAGGUAAUGACCCUGUAUUUAAUCCUCACAGAUUAAAAUGAGAAUAAAAUGUAAAUACCAUAAAAAUCUGUAUUAUUCAUAUAUAAGGAAAUCAUCAUUUGCAACAAAAUCAGAGAAUGUUGAUUCAAUCUCCAUAUCUGUAAGACCUUGACAUUACAACUAUAUACUAUACAUAUAAUACCAUUCCCCUAAUAAUUAUCUUAAGUGAAAUAGUAAUGUAUGCGAAGUGCUUGGCUGCAUUGUCCAGUAUAGCUUAUAUGCUCAAUAAAUACCAGAUCAUGUUCUUAAUGUCUAAAGGCCCAUUAAAAUUGUCCAGUGCUUCUGACACAUAGCGCCUGAAGGGGCAAAAUCAAGUUAUUCCAAGUCAAGCACAAUGCUGACAAUGCUAGUUGUGGGCAGGGCAGUCACAAAAUACUUUUCAAGUAAGCCUCCCAGGGCUGCUUUGCAAAUUGUUUAAGAAUGGGUAUUGGCAAUUGUCACGGAGCCCAGUGACUCAGAAGCUGAGUUUUGCAUUCUGAGUUGAGUAUCAGGAGAGAGUUUUCAUUCUUCUGUGAUUUGGAAGUUACAGUCCCAGACUAAAAGGAAGGCAUCUGUUUGAUUCUAUAGUAACACAAACAUAAAGAGACCAGAUGAGACGGCAUAGCUACCCCGGGGCAGCUUUAAAUUAAACUGCAAAUGUAGUCAUCAGCCCUUUGGAGGAACAUUUGCCCCUAUUUGUUCAGUAUGUGCAGCUUGUCCACCAGACCAGGGAAUGCUUGGUUAUUAUGUGAUUCCACCCCAUUAAAGUUCUUCCAGCCACCCAGGAGGGGAACGGUAAGCAGCAAUCAGUUUUCCCUGAAUGAAGAACGAUUCAAUGAGGGAGAAAUGUGCAGUGCAGGUGCAAUUCUAACUCAUUUCUGAGUAAAUAUAUAGAAAACUUUGUGGUCAGGUGUGAUUCAUCAGAAGGAAAAGCAUUCUCUAUAACAGUUAACCUACAUUUCAAGCAGAGAUUGGGCUUUAUUUUUCCUGUCUUUUAAAAUAUUUUAUUUUUAGUUCUUAGUGAAAUCAGUGGGAAUCAACACUGCUGCCAGGUUAUGUGGUGUUAUUCAAACAUGAACCUUCACCUGGAACACCUGUUAUCUGCAACAGUGAUGAUUAGGAUUUUGGCAUUUAAUAAGGCAUGUGUCCUCUGUAGUUUUAAACCCCAGGCUUUCAUGUAGACUUGUUUUUGACAUGGUGCACUUUUAGAUCCUGAAUAUGGGGACUACAUACUAUGCAUUUGGUUCAAACAUUGGAUACAGGUGUCCAUUGAAAUUCCCUUCUUCCUCUCACUUUCCAUAUCAAAUAGAUACAAUUUUUCACAUUGCUCUUUUGUCAGGUUCAUAAUCAUCAUCUCAAAAAUUCAUGACAUUUAUUGUUUGUAAGAUUUUAUUUUUAAUCAUUCAAAUAGGACUUUUAAAAAAUGUUAUAAAAAAAUAGUAACUUAACAAGAUUAUAGUUGCUAUGCAUGAAUUGAGGAAGGAUUCAGCCCCAGAUCUUCUGACUCCAAAUAACUUUUUAAAAAUAGUAUCUUUUAUUAAGAAUGACAAACUUUUACAUAAAUGAAAACACUUAAAAUGGAAGGGUAUUGAUAUAAAGAAUGACAUGAUAUAAAGAACACCAAAAAUAUAUUGUGUAAAAAGUUUGCUUCAGCCUAUAUUCUAUAAAGGAGUAUCUCCAAAGCUGAAGAUCAAAGGAUACUUACACGUGUGUGGUGUGUGUUCACAAAUUAUAUUAAACUUGUGUCUCCCUUCUGGCAAAUUGGCAAUAAAUGAGAAAUGUAAAUCUCAUAAGAUGCUACAUAUUGGUUUACAUGAGCCUCUGUAUCCUCCUAGGAACACAUAUACACUUACAACCACAAGAAUACUAUGUAGGCACAAUACUAGCUGAUUUAAUGUGAUUCUAUGAUUCUUAUUUAUAGAACUGGGGUUUUGCAUUUCCCAUUCCUACCUAAUUCAAUCAUUCAGAUGGCCUGAUUUACUUUUAGAGCAACGAUUCCCUCCUGGGAGCAAUUUUGCUUCCCAGCAAAAUUUGGCAAUGUCUGGAGACAUUUUUGUUUGUCACAGGAGGAGGUUGUGUGCUACUCGCAUCUUGUACGAGGCCAUGGAUACUACCAAAUAUCCUAUUAUGUACAAGACAGUCCCCCACAACUAAGAAAUAUCCUGCAAAAUGUCAGUGGCACCAUUGGAGAUGAAUGCAAACAUGCUAACCGCAUUCCAGAGACUAAUAUCUGAACAAGAAUGCAAUUUAUUAAUUUGCAAUGAUAGCUAGAACUGUCGAGGGGACCAGGAUAGUCAUAUUUGCUAAUGAAUAUAUAUAUACUCCCUCUGGAAAAUCUAUACAAAAAUCCAAAUUAGAACCAGACAUUUAUUUGCUAAACAUAAAGUCAAUUCUAGGAAGAUAGAUACUCCUUAUAGAACUUAUCACAAUUAAAAUCAAUCAUUUGUGUGAUUAUAUAUAUAUUCCUCCUCUUCAAGUCUAAAAAGUCUACGGGGACAUGGAAUAUACUUCAAUAUGCAUCACCUUAACCAUAGUAUAUAACUGUACUGUCCAGCAUAUAGUAGGUACUAACAAACAUUUAUUGGAUCCAUGAAUGAAUGAAUCCUUAAUGUUUCAGUGUACAAAUUCAUAUUAAACAUAUAACAUGUACAAAGCACUAUUUGAAGCAUUCGGAUUACAAAAUAUAAUAAGACAGUUUCUACUUGUGUGGAGGUUCCUGAAUUCUGAUUGACUAGAUGGACACUACCAGUUAAGUCAGGCUGCUGAAGCCAUAGCCUUCCCUGCCAACAGGCACCAUAGAAGAUCUGAGCCUCAGCAGCCCUGUUAGGUAUCAUGUGACUCUGUCCCUUGGCCACAUUUGAAUGGACUGGGGAGAAACAGUAUGAAAGCAGAAACUGGCAGCAUCCUAUCAUCUGAGCUUUAGCAAAAAGAUGGACCCUGACAAAUCAGAUUCCCAUGCUUGGGUAUUUAAAACUACUAAAUGACUGAAGCAGAAGUGUAAAGAGAAGUUAAAGAUAAUGUAGUGUUUUGAAUGGUGAUCCCCCAAAAGACGUCCAACCCAAAACUCGUGACUGUGACCUAAUUUGAAAAAUGCUUUUGUACUGGUAAGUAAAAGAUUUAAAGAUGAGAUCGUCCUGGAAUAAGUAGAUGGGUCAUAAAUCCAAUGAGCGUGUCUUUAUACACGAGACAGAAAGGUUUGAACACGCAGGAGAGGUUCAUUGAAUGAAGGCACAGACAGCCAGUGAAGUUACGUGGCCACAAGCCAAUGAAGGCCUGGAGCAGACAGAAGCUGGAAGAAGGAAGGAAGGACCCUCCCCUGGAGCCUUCAGAGCUAGUGUGGUCCUGCGCACACCUUGAUUCUUGAACUUCUGGCUUUCAGAACUGUCAGAUGUGUUUGUUUCUUUCAGCCUCUGCACUUUGUUAUGGAGCCUUAAGAAACUAACACAAAUGUCUAGAAAGAAGAAAUAUAUAGGAGUAAAAGUCAUGAAUAGCAGCUUGUAACCACUGAUGUAAUAUGGAAGAAGCAACUGAAUAAAGCAAAAGCUUUGCAAUAGAGAAAUAACACAGUUUGGAGGAAAAUACUGAGCUUUGGAAGUGGCCCCAGGUGCUGUGUGCCAGUCGCCUUCGACCUCGACCUCGACUCAGGGUGGGGGACGGUGUCCAUACCCCAUACUGGCACAGGGGUUGUAACACUGAGGGAAGGGAGCGGGACUUUGAACCUCCAGGAGGGUGCAAGGACACUGCUGAAAGGAAUAACAAGGCUUAUAUCUAGGAUCCAUAAGUUGGACCCUGGGCAUUUUUUACAUGUGGGAACCCAGGCACACGAAAGCAUUGCUGCUCACCUAGAUAACCAGGUUCCAGUUGAGAGUCCCAGAGCUAUUUUCCACACCAAUGACAAUGACCCGGCUAAGCAUGGGGAUCAGCAUGAGGGUCAGCACUACAACAUCUUUCCCCAGGAUAUGAGGACUGAAUUUCCCCAUGGCCUUCCUCCUCGCUUUGUGAUACAGGUGAAGAUGUUCAGUGAAGCUUACCUAAUGGAAAGGAAACCAGCCCUAGAACUUCUGCAUUAACUGAAAAAACACCAGUGUUGCUUAUCCGGCUGUACGAUAUCUUCUGUAUGGAGAGAAGGGAACAGGAAAAACCCUCAGUCUUUGCCAUGUUAUUCAUUUCUGUGCAAAACAGGACUGGAUGAUACUACAUAUUCCGGAUGCUCAUCAUUGGGUAAAAAAUUGCCGGGAACUUCUACAGUCCAACUACAACAAACAACCCUUUGAUCAACCUUUAGAGGCUUCAACCUGGCUGAAGAAUUUCAAAACUACAAAUGAGCGCUUCCUGAACCAGAUAAAAAUUCAAGAGAAGUAUGUCUGGAAUAAGAGAGAAAGCACUGAGAAAGGCAGUCCUCUGGGAGACGUGGUUGAACAGGGCAUAACACAGGUGAGGAACGCCACAGAUGAGUUGGAAUUGUGCUGAAAGAGCUACACAGAGGCAAAGUUCUUUGGGUAUUUUUCACCUCCUGGUGGCCGUGGAUGGAAUAAAAGACACAUGGAAUUGGAUCAUAGAGAGCAGCUAUGCCACUUCUCUAGGUUCUGGUGUAAAGAUGCACAGAUUCCUGCUCUUGAUAAUCCCGCUGCUUUGGAAGAAGCUUCUUUUCCUGUUUAUCCAUUAAGAAGUCAGGCAUGUUUGGGCUUUAUAUUUGUUUAAUCUUACAGGAAACAUUUCAUCAUUCCCUAAGGCCGAAGCGUUUUGUAAAGAAUUGUAAAUGGAAAAUUGCAAUAUAAAGCAGAAAGUUGUCAACAAGUCCAGCAUGCCAAUGACCUAAUGGACUUCCCAAGAGAAACACUUGGUCUGGCUAGAAAUUCCAUGAAAAGCUUCCUGCGUUAACUUAUUAAAUUAUCCCUGCAUAUCUUGAAAGUUGAGUGGGUACUUUUCAACUGACUAAUAAGAGAUGAAAUGACAAGAAAGAAAAAUUUUCAAAAGAGAAAAGAUAAAGAAAACUGAAAGCACAGGGGCAUGAAAUCAUGUGGGUUAUCAUCCUACUAUGUAAUGGGAUUGCGCUAUCGGCACAUGAGGAAGAUAGAGAAGCGAAAGAUACUGAAAUAUUAUUGUCAGCAGAUUGGCACGCCCUGCCUCCCACAGACUACUUUUGGCUCCAUGAUAAGCAGCCUCCUGAGACAACCGAUGCGCCUAUAGUUUUAGACGGGCUAAUGCAAUCCCAUUCCUAUGAGAUUGCUUCAAAGUUACUAACUCAAGAUGUAUUUGAAAUUUUUCCAUUUUGCCCCUUCUGCAGAUAGCCGAUGUAAUUUCCUGCACUUUUCCUGAUCUUUUAGACCAAGUAUGCAUUUGAAAUUCUGGGUGUCUUGAAAUACAGGGAAACAAAGGUCUGUAUUCUUUUUUUCUGGAAUUUGAAUUAAUGCCCUUUAUGUGGCAUCAGUGUGAAGAUUACUCAGUAGAUGAGAAAUCAAAGAAAAAGAAAAGUUUAAAAUAUGUAUGUGAAAACAAUCUACAAAAUAGAGAUGUUCUAUCGGACUCCCUCUAACUAAAAAAAUAAAAAAGUGUAGUUUGCAUUUAGCUUCUUUUUUUGUAAAUAUGUGAUAUAUCUAGUCUGUCCCAAUCACUGUGCUAGCUCCCUAGUACGAAAAGGUAACUAAAAGCACAGCUUCACCCAAACAUAAAUUAUAAUUUAGUGUGUUUUGAAGGUAUCAUUUUGCCUCACAGUAUAAGCAAAAAGCAGAAAAUAGUGAUUGAUUAACCUUAUUUUGUGGCGAUGCAGCAAUCUAAUAAACCCAAAUUUUAGAAUGAAAUGAAGAUAACAAAAUUGAAGGAACCAAUAUUUCUGGUUGGUGCCCACUUUUAUUACAGUGCUAAAAAUAAACAUUGACAAGAAAGGGUAGAUGAAUGCCUUCUUGUUAUUUUCCAGCAUUGAGAGAGGUUUAGAUUAGCAUGUUGGGGAUAGGAACAUUAAGAAGUUGGUAGCCUUCACACAUAAGAUGAAUAAAUAUAGAUCAUUAUAAAUGACUUCAAAAAUCUUAUCUUCAGAUGUUCUGGCUGGGCUUAUAAUGAAAGGAACAAGGAAUGUUAGAAAAUAUGGUGUCUUCACAGUCUCAUAAACAAUACUUUCUGAAACCUUCUAAAGAAUAUGCUGAAAUGGAUAAAGAACCCUCUGAGAAACUCCUUUUGUUGUUGGAUUUUUAAAGUUGUCAUAAACCACCUUUUGUACUUAACCUAAAUAAUGAAUGUUGUUACUUUUUUGUUAUAUUUAAAAAAUAAAUAUUGUUAUCAAAUAUAAUGCUAUGAUGUAUCACUAAUGUAAAAUUGUGUCUUGUUAAAACAAAGUUAUGCAUUAUUUUUGAAAGUAAAUAUGGAAUAAUAUGAAUGUUUAGAAGCUGAUUAGGAGAAAUUAUUGAUCUUUGUCCUAAAAGAUUUUGUUACAUUAUUAAAAAAAUUCAUUUACUGAAAUAUGCAUGCAUGCACACACACACACACACACACACACACACACACACACACAUACAUACUUUCACACAUUGUAAUCAGUGUCUGUGAAUAGGUAACUUUAUAGUCUCCUAUUUAUAUUCAUGUUAUUAGAAAUUCUUAUAAUCUAAUUUAAAUGUAGAAAUUUUAGAAAUUUCCAGGUUAAAAAUUAAUAUUAUUCAAAUUAAUGAGAAAAUAAUUAGUUCUGAAUUUACACAUGAGCAAGACAUAAAAAUAACAUAUAUUUAUAAAACAGAACAAAGUUGCAAAGUACAGAAAAAUGUAAUUGUAGCAGUCAUCAAAGAUACGGUAACUUAAACAUGGACACAAUUUUUCAUUCAGCAAAAUUAUUUAAAAGACAACCUUUUAAAAAAUAA
Molecule: RNA transcript, 6873 nt
Organism: Sapajus apella (tufted capuchin)
Lineage: Eukaryota; Metazoa; Chordata; Mammalia; Primates; Cebidae
Gene name: 28S ribosomal protein S29, mitochondrial pseudogene
Exons: 1
Source: RefSeq, a predicted model, not a curated record